GUGUAUGCGAAGGGCACGCCUAGGCCGCCACGUGCAAGCGUAGCCAGGAUUUGUGUGCAGUUUCGAAAAUGCAAUUUUACCUAGAUGUGCGCCAGCCUGCACAUCUGUGUAUAUGCAACAGCUUGUGGCAAAUGUGAUUAAACGAAAUUGUAGCGCAGUGCGCUUUGAUUACGCUUUUCCGGGACACUUGAUGCAAAUUUGCAAACUCCUUUUUCGAAUUUGCGUUGCAGCUGUGAAAACUGCGACGGAACGGAGCGACCGCAGUGUAUGUGUGUGUGUGUGCGCGAGUGCGAGUGUGUUUGUGUGUACGAGCAAAGGAGGCGCAGCGCAUAGAUCACAAAUGUUAAUGGCUGUGUGUGUGUGUGUGUGUGUGUGUGCGUGUGCUGAGGUGUUCGCAACAGGAUGCGGUUAAUGUCUGUUAAGUGCAAAAGUCACUAUUAUUGAGUCUGCACGAAUCUCGAUUGACGUUUUCACUUCUCCUCUCGCAAUGUUAUUACCAUUUACUGCCAUUCACAAAAUACUCAAUAUUAUAAUGUGACCAAAUAAGCCAAAAUACCAAAAAUACCUAUUUAAGCACAAAUCUUGCGAGCAAUGACGUAGUUGGUCAAAGAUGGCAUAAAACCAAAUAGCACUGAUUGAUUGGACGCCACGUAAAGUCAGAGGAUAGUCGGUUAGAUUAAAGAAGCUAGUAUGUAAGGUUGAGAUCAAGGAGAAGAGGGCUUGGCCGACUACAUAUAAUAAUAAUUGUUGUAGAGUUGAUUUUUGAUGUAUAUAAUUUUAUUGCUGGUAUAUAAUGCAUCCACUAACUUCGACCCCGAUUCAAUUAAUCGCCGAUUAUCUAGUGAUUUUAAAUGUGGAUGAUCGGUGUACAUUACACUUGUUGCAGAUGUAAUUCAAAACUAAAGCUCGUAAAAUACUAGAAAUUCAAAAACACCACAAAAUUUAAAUAUUCUGCAUCUUGAUUAUUAUGGCGUCCCUCUCACCCGAGAUAAACGCGAUUAUAAUAUUGUAAUUGUAAAACAUAAAUCAAUAAUUCUAAAAAAAAUAUAUAUAUAUUUAUCUAAUAAAUAUACUCUAUGUGAAAAAGCUUUGUCAGAUAGAAAUAAAAUCCUUUAGUUGGCUAGAGACACCCUAGCUACUCCAACGUAAAUAAAUAAUAAGUGUAUAUUAUAAGAAAUUUGGUUUACAUAGAACAACAUAUGAUUUAUAAUUAAGUCAUGAAAUUUGUAUUGUACCUUAAUAAUAAAAUUACUCUAACAUGCCAUCAUCGUUAGAUAAAGUAGCUGGUUUAAUGUUAUUGUUAUUUUAGCUUUCUCCUUACAUAAAAAUAAAGCUCAGCGCUUCGGAUUUGGUUGACCUUCUUUUAAAAAUAAUUGUUUUAGAAGUCUGCCAGUAAUUGGAUCAUUGCGCAUAGCACCUAGUGUACUCUGUUUCGUCGAGCGGGAGAGUCCAAGGUCUCGGGCCCAACCGAAUAUAUUUCCGCUAUAACACUUAGUAUCGGAUUAUUGGUAU
This is a long non-coding RNA of Drosophila novamexicana, 1512 nucleotides long. RefSeq lists it as uncharacterized. The record is from RefSeq and is a predicted model, not a curated record. The transcript is spliced from 5 exons. NCBI's taxonomy places the organism in Eukaryota, Metazoa, Arthropoda, Insecta, Diptera, Drosophilidae.